This 228-nucleotide ribosomal RNA is filed under the name uncultured bacterium. RNAcentral's name for it is "partial 16S ribosomal RNA". It matches the Rfam family "Bacterial small subunit ribosomal RNA", at positions 118 to 348 of the family's 1533-position model. The record is from RNAcentral.
UGAGCAAUCUGCCCUUCUCUUCGGAAUAAGCGUUGGAAACGACGUCUAAUGCCGAAUACGACCUCCUUUCGCAUGAUCGGAGGUGGAAAGCUCCGGCGGAGAAGGAUGAGCUCGCGGCCUAUCAGCUAGUUGAUGUGGGUAAUGGCUCACCAAGGCGACGACGGGUAGCCGGCCUGAGAGGGUGACCGGCCACACUGGGACUGAGACACGGCCCAGACUCCUAGGAGG